Molecule: long non-coding RNA, 849 nt
Organism: Sipha flava (yellow sugarcane aphid)
Lineage: Eukaryota; Metazoa; Arthropoda; Insecta; Hemiptera; Aphididae
Exons: 3
Source: RefSeq, a predicted model, not a curated record
GUGUGUGUGUGUGUGUGUGUGAUUGUGACGGCAUCAAUGCGGAAUUUCCGAGAACGUCGCAAAAAGAGAAAAAGGUCGACGUAGCAAAUGUAUAUUAUGAUCGUCUCCGCGAUGACGUUCCCCCACAUCGUGGAAAUAUGGGCAGGGCCCGCGUCCUGUUCUGGUUUGCAGAGAAAGGGUGGAGCUCCUCCGCGCGGAAGGGAUGGUUUCGGGGGUAAAGGCUCAAUUACGUUCGUGUCGGAUGGUCAUAUAAAUAGCGAUCGCUGCUUGACGGUUUAUUGUCAAAACUGCAACACUCCGCUGAGGAUCCUACGAUACGCUCGUCUCCCGUCGACCGCGUCCAGACGACUUCAACGCCAUAUUUCCUUGCCGACUUUGAAACGUUCGCUUCAGACCAGUUUUCCAUAAGACGAAAUGAUGUCUUCGGGCUGCACGUCGAAAUCUACCGACUACUAUCAUCAGAUGAGGCAGAAGAACAACGAGGCGGCCAGGAACAGCCGUUUCAAGAAGAAGGUGGCCGAGAUCGAGAUAUCCGCCCAGAAACGCAAGCUGGAGGUGACGUACGUUCAGCUGAAGAAGGAGAUCAAACGCAUACAAGUGAAGGCGUCGUAACUUGCGAGCGCGUUCAGGCUUAUUCGAGAUCAUGGCUGCAAUAUGGAAUUAUUAUUUUCAACCGCAAGACACGUUAAAUCAUGCAAAAGGAUUCUGUUGAAUUUCUAGUCAAAUGCAUUGUACACCGUUCAAUAUUUUGACUGUCAAUUAAACAGAAAUGAUAAAACAACACAAAUGUAGAAAACGAUAUUUUCAUAUUGACAUUUCGUUUUAAAAAUUUAACAUUGUACACUGAUU